GUUACGCACAGUUACACACUGUAACACACAGUAAGACACAGUAACACACAGCUACACACAGUUACACACAGUAACACACUGUAACACACACGCACACUGUAACACACACAGUAACAGUACUUGUAUAGAUUUGAGGACCCGUUGUGACAGAACCGGUUCCUUGAGACCCUGAUUCUACUCUAACCCUUAACACCAAGUCUGAACCUUCAAGCAGCUCUGAAGUCGUGAAGAAAAAUGUCCUCAGUCUGUUGGUUAACCCUGCAGGAAGUACACAAACACACACACACACACACACACACACACACACACACACAUUGUAAAGGUAAAGCAGGAGUCGAGUCCGAGUCGGACUGAGACCAGCACAGUUUGAUUAUUGACCAGCUGAUUAUCAGUAUUUCCUGCAUGAGGUCAGUUGCCGCCGCUCUCUCUGAUUGGCUGAACAUGGUCAGAGUUCAAUCAGAGAGGAAGGGAAGGAGAUGCUGGUCACACCGAUGUGAACUGUACAGAGUUUACACCAGAAUCAGGACCAGAAUCAGUGCCCUUUUGGAUUCAGACACUGAGAGGACCAGGUCCAGAACUUUUAAAACCAGAAUUGGUAAUGAAGUCAGACUGGAGCAUACACGCCACAGACCUAAAAGUGAAAGUACACAUCACACACAGUACUGAGAUGAUUCUGACAAUCUCUCAGCUGGUCCAGGUCCUGCUCUGACCUGUCUUUGAGGUCCAUGGAGCUCUGAACCAGAACCACACAAUAAACAGAACAAGGUCUUCAGAAUGAGCUCAGACUCGACUGCUGCAUCAACCACCCUGAACCUGUUGAUCCAAACCUGCAGGUCCACGUCUCUCAGUACAAGCACUGCCCGUCUGAGGCACAGAACCAGAUUUAUAAUAGAAUCAGAUAGACCGUCUUUACAAGUUUGUUUCUUUUGUGUUCAUAGUUUUCUCUCGUUUCACUCUUUUCAGAGCAGUAGAAGAAAUCUUCAGUCCGGUCUUCAGAGAAAUCAGAUGUAAUUUUUAAUUGCAGGUUCAGGCCAUGUGAUCUUUUCUUUGUUCAGUUGCUGUUUGAUCCUGACAGCCAAUCAAUGCAAACUAAUUGUCCUCAGCAGCAGUUAACUUAAUUUGAGAUAUAUAUACAUUUUUAGUGAACAAAAGACCUUAAAGUUGUUAAACGAAGCAGCUGAACGUGAAAACAGUCAGUCCUAAAGUGGAGUAAUGAUUAUCAGUCCAGUCCAGGAACUGGUUCUGCAGAUGUUCAGACCUGUAUGAGAAGAUGUUUCAUUACCAGCUGGUUUGGAUCCACACAAUGAGCUCUCUCACAGAUGUGUAAAUAGAUCCAGAGUUUUUUACUUGAUCGGAGAACAUGUGGAUGAAGCUGUGUUGUGUAGAAGUCGGUGUUUGUCUUACGCUGGCCUGCGAGCUGAGCCAGACUAACUCUGACCUGGAGUUUAACCGUCUUCGCUGAAUGAGGAACAUCGUGUAUAUCUGGAGAACAUGUGGGACAUUUACUAAAGAACAUCUGGACCAGGAAGUCCAGGUGUGAGCAGGUGGUCCAGGUGUAUAAACUGAAUGCUGCUGCUUGGUGCUUUAUUAUUUAUUGAACUUGAAUUGAAGGCAGAGAAACUCCUUCAGUCAUCUUCAGCUCGGUCUCUGAUACUGCAGCAGGCUGGAUGCCACGUCUUUACCAUUUCAUGUAUUUACCCCCUUCUGGUACCCAUGUAUCUGAUCAGAUGUGAGAAUCUAACUGAUAUGCCUCUUAAACACUCUGAUACCCCCAUCACACCCCUCUAUACCCCCUUAGACCCUAUCAAACCCUCGGAUACCCCUCCUGUACCCUCUGAUGCCCCAUCAUACCCCUCCUAUAACCUCUCAAACCCUAUCAAACCCUCGGAUACCCCUCCUAUACCCUCUUAAACCCUAUCAAACCCUCGGAUACCCCUCCUGUACCCUCUGAUGCCCCCUCAUACCCCUCCUAUACCCUCUCAAACCCUAUCAAACCCUCGGAUACCCCUCCUGUACCCUAUGAUGCCCCAUCAUACCCCUCCUAUACCCUCUUAAACCCUAUCAAAUCCUGGGAUACCCCUCCUGUACCUUCUGAUGCCCAGCAGUCCCUCCUACACCCUCUUAAACACCCUGAUACCCUCUUUGAGUUUCUCUUCUGAUACCCCAAUGAUGCACCAUCAUACCUUUGUGUACUCUCCUAAACCCUCUCAUAUCGUUGUGUAUAUAUUCCUGUACCCUUUGUUACCCUUUGGUACCCCAAUAUUCAAUUAAAUUAUUUAUUUAUUUGAA
Molecule: long non-coding RNA, 2289 nt
Organism: Micropterus dolomieu (smallmouth bass)
Lineage: Eukaryota; Metazoa; Chordata; Actinopteri; Centrarchiformes; Centrarchidae
Exons: 2
Source: RefSeq, a predicted model, not a curated record